Molecule: ribosomal RNA, 253 nt
Filed under: uncultured bacterium
Lineage: Bacteria
Description: partial 16S ribosomal RNA
Rfam family: Bacterial small subunit ribosomal RNA
Source: RNAcentral
UACGGAGGGUGCAAGCGUUGUCCGGAAUCACUGGGCGUAAAGGGCGCGUAGGCGGCCUGGUAAGUAGGGGGUGAAAUCCUGCGGCUUAACCGCAGGGCUGCCUUCUAAACUGUCAGGCUUGAGCACGGUAGAGGCAGAUGGAAUUCCCGGUGUAGCGGUGGAAUGCGUAGAGAUCAGGAAGAACACCGGUGGCGAAGGCGCUCUGCUAGGCCGCAACUGACACUGAGGGACGAAAGCUAGGGGAGCGAAUGGG